This is a long non-coding RNA of Mercurialis annua (annual mercury), 409 nucleotides long. RefSeq lists it as uncharacterized. The transcript has 3 exons. The record is from RefSeq and is a predicted model, not a curated record. NCBI's taxonomy places the organism in Eukaryota, Viridiplantae, Streptophyta, Magnoliopsida, Malpighiales, Euphorbiaceae.
UUUCUGUCGCCCUGAUCAAGUCACAAAGAGCUUGAUUGACCUGCAAUUUUCCAUUUACGCAAUCAAAAUGAGAUCAUUGUAGUGCAAGAUUUUUCACCGUGGCAAAAAUUUCAAUGGCCUACAUUAUGCAAAAUCAGUAGUUCAAGCAGAAAAAUACCUCAUCGGUCUUCUCAUGACUCACUAAAUGGCCACCAUGGAGAUCUAUCAUCCUAGCAACAGGAUACAGCUUCUCCGCUAGUCUCUUUGCGUAGUAUAUUUGAGCAAUGAUAUCAUGCCUACAAAUUAGAACCACCUCAAAUUAAUCUUGAGCAGCCAACAUACUCAUCAAGGUAUUCCUGCACACCAAAAAGAAAGUUAAAUUCGACUAAGCAAGAGAGCUUCACUUUGAAAUAUUAAUUGACCCAGGCAA